RNAcentral lists this ribosomal RNA (253 nucleotides) under uncultured bacterium. RNAcentral's name for it is "partial 16S ribosomal RNA". It matches the Rfam family "Bacterial small subunit ribosomal RNA", at positions 524 to 776 of the family's 1533-position model. The record is from RNAcentral.
UACGGGGGGGGCAAGCGUUGUUCGGAAUUACUGGGCGUAAAGGGCGCGUAGGCGGCCUUCUAAGUCAGACGUGAAAUCCCUCGGCUCAACCGAGGAACUGCGUCUGAUACUGGAAGGCUUGAAUCCGGGAGAGGUGAGUGGAAUUCCUAGUGUAGAGGUGAAAUUCGUAGAUAUUAGGAAGAACACCAGUGGCGAAGGCGGCUCACUGGCCCGGUACUGACGCUGAGGCGCGAAAGCGUGGGGAGCAAACAGG